UGCAGUCGAGUCAAAUUCAGCCUUCGUCUCACUGUGGCAGAGGCUGGCCCAAGUGGCUGCUACAGUGAGCUCCGCCGCUCAUGGGCUCCGGGUCCCCUGUCUGGCCCCGGGGAUGAAUUUGGCUGCGGACAGAG
Small nucleolar RNA from Cavia aperea (Brazilian guinea pig), 134 nucleotides. Ensembl annotates it as small nucleolar RNA, H/ACA box 5C. NCBI's taxonomy places the organism in Eukaryota, Metazoa, Chordata, Mammalia, Rodentia, Caviidae. The record is from Ensembl.